CGGGGUGUAGCACAGUUGGUUAGCGCACCUGGUUUGGGACCCGUAGGUCCCCCGUUCGAGUCGGGGUACCCCGA
RNAcentral lists this transfer RNA (74 nucleotides) under Bacteroidales bacterium. Its description in RNAcentral is "tRNA-Pro". It matches the Rfam family "tRNA". From Rfam's summary of the family: Transfer RNA (tRNA) molecules are approximately 80 nucleotides in length. Lineage: Bacteria; Pseudomonadati; Bacteroidota; Bacteroidia; Bacteroidales. The record is from RNAcentral.